Long non-coding RNA from Cornus florida, 2460 nucleotides. RefSeq lists it as uncharacterized. The transcript is spliced from 5 exons. The record is from RefSeq and is a predicted model, not a curated record. Lineage: Eukaryota; Viridiplantae; Streptophyta; Magnoliopsida; Cornales; Cornaceae.
AUGAGAGUUUUACUCUAGAAGUUUGAUUUUUUCUAGAAAUCAGUGUAAUUUCAAAUUUAUGUUACUCCCAUUUAAAUUUUGAACUAUUUCUUUGCUACCAUAAUGAAUUCAGUAAAAGACAUUUGUUGGUUCCCACUACCUGUUGCCUUUCAGGUGGCUUUUCUUUUUCCUAUAAAUCUGUCUUUCAAGUUUCAAGGAGACUUGAGAGUAUAGGUGUUUAUCUUCUUUUUUUUUGCUUUGCAUAUAGAUUUCUAUAGAUGGCUCUUUUAAUGAAUUAUAUUUAUUUUGCGAACAAGAAAAAGAAAAUAAAUUCAACUAAAGAGCAACCAGUUAAGUGCAUGGUUCCAUAAUGUUAAGAAGCAUGGACAUUUGUGAGGAAAUGUGUCCAUGUUGGACGUGCUUGCAAUAUCAAUACUUCUCAGAAUCUCGGGCAUUCAUGGAACCUGUUUGACACAUCUUGACCUUGUAUGUCAUUUAAAAGUAAAAUUUUGGACAUUUGGCCAAUAUAUUUUGACACCGAUAAAUAAGUGAUCAAUGAAUGUUGGAUGUUUGGUAUGCCUUCAUUUUAGCAUACUGCAGAGAGUAAUUUAAGAAAAAGAAAAUCAAAUAUGUAUCUAAUAUUUCUAAAAUGUUUGACCAUAUAUAAAAAUAAAAACUCAAAUAUAGAAAUGUGUUGUUAAAUGUAUCACCAUGCGAAUAGAGAGACGAGUCCUCAUAAGUAUGCCUGCACAUAUGAACAUGCAUAUGGAUAUAUAAACGUAGAAUAUACAUAUACACACAUUUGUCUGUCACUGCUACAUCAUGUCUAUAAGACAUAGCUAAUUGACUUUGAUUAUUUUUUCACAAAGUUUUUCUUAAUAUGAUUCAUAAGUUACAUAAUUCAUACAAUGGAAUUAAGGCGAGGAUGAUGAUGAUGAGGAAGUUACAUAUUUCAUGUUUCUAUGAAAAUAUUAGAUCUGUUACAAGUAAUUGUUGUUGUAGAUAUUAUAGAUAAAUAUACCUUUUGCUGACAUGUCCUUGCCGUGUGAUUUUCCAUGUUGUGUAUAUCUUUUUAGUAUGUCCUUGUGUAUGAUACAUAAACCAAAAAUACAUUUUAUUGUUAUCUUAAUUGGGGUAAAGCUUGGAAGGUUUUCAAACAAAUAUUAUGUAAUGGCAUUUCUACAUACCUUUGCAGGUUAUUUCUAAAAUUAUUGAAACAUGCCGUGCACAUGAUUUUACGGAUGUUGUGUUGGUUCAUGAGCAUCGUGGUUUGCCAGAUGGUAUAAUUAUUAGCCAUUUACCUUUUGGUCCAACUGCCUACUUCGGAUUACUCAAUGUGUUAAGUUACAAGACAUGAUAUUAAGGACAAAAAAGCCAUUGAAACAAUGCCUGAGGCUUACCCACAUUUGAUUCUUAACAACUUCUCAACCAAGGGGUAAUGUUUUGUGCUUUCGUAAUACUUUUGGAUCCGUUGACUGCUGAUAGCUUGGUGAAAGGACAACAACCAUUUUAAAGCAUUUAUUUCCAGUGCCCAAGCCUGAUACAAAACGUGUAUCACUUUUGCUAAUCAGUCUGACUAUAUUUCCUUCAGGCAUCAUAUUUAUGAGAAACGCGGAGGUCCUAAAUUGAAUGAGCUGAAGGAGAUUGGUCCUCGGUUUGAAUUGCGGUUGUACCAGAUUAAAGCUAGGAACAAUGGAUCAAGGUGAAGCUCAAACUGAAUGGGUCAUUAGACCAUACAUGAACACAUCCAAAAAACGGAAGAUUCUCGGGGAUUGAGUCAACCUCAAAGCAAUUUCAAGAUUUAGCCUUCUGAUUUGUAAUGUCUACGAGGAAACUGAUCCUUUUUCUGCUUAAGCUGACAAUUAUAUUCCAAUUCCAAUUGGUAGUUUCAUCACCAUUAAAAUCCGCAGAUCUUUUGCCAGUUACAUGCAUGGAUAGUUGAUUAAAAACCUUCCACACUAGAGCUGUCUUCUUUAUUUUCUUUCUGCAUCGAUGUCAUGUAGCUGGAUGGUUACAUGAUGGUAUCGUCAAACUACAGACCUCUGUUUAGAGCAUGGACUGCUCACAUUCCCCGAAUGAUACAUUUUGCAAUCGCCUAUUACUCGAAUUCUAAGGGCAUUUUUCUGUAUGUUCAAGCAUAAAAAUCUAUUUGGUAGUUUUGAUAAUGCAUGCAUCACCGUUUCAUCUAUGCCAACAGAGAUGGGAAGGGGGUUAAUGGAGUUUCAAGAUCUUCAGUCCAAUCUCUCCUUGCAGGAUAUUGCACCUCUUCGGUAUUGAAUCUCUCCACUAGCUUUUGCUGGUCGGUAAGUAGAUGGAGUUCAACACGGGGAAGUUGUAGGAGAUUUUUAUUUUAUUUCUAUUUAUUUUGGGACAAUAUACUAAGUUGCAGAAUGCACGAUCUUGUCCAUGACGUUGCACAAUUGGUUAUGAGGUCUGUGAGUGUUACAUGCGGAAUUCACCUCAUUUUCUUUUUGUAACGAC